RNAcentral lists this ribosomal RNA (253 nucleotides) under uncultured bacterium. RNAcentral's name for it is "partial 16S ribosomal RNA". It matches the Rfam family "Bacterial small subunit ribosomal RNA", at positions 524 to 776 of the family's 1533-position model. The record is from RNAcentral.
UACGUAGGGGGCAAGCGUUGUCCGGAAUCAUUGGGCGUAAAGGGCUCGUAGGCGGCCAACUAAGUCGGACGUGAAAUCCCCAGGCUCAACCUGGGAACUGCGUCCGAUACUGGAUGGCUUGAAUUCGGGAGAGGGAUGCAGAAUUCCAGGUGUAGCGGUGAAAUGCGUAGAUAUCUGGAGGAAUACCGGUGGCGAAGGCGGCAUCCUGGACCGACAUUGACGCUGAUGAGCGAAAGCUAGGGGAGCAAACGGG